Acanthosepion pharaonis is the source of this 112-nucleotide non-coding RNA. Lineage: Eukaryota; Metazoa; Mollusca; Cephalopoda; Sepiida; Sepiidae. The record is from the annotation of a GenBank genome assembly.
UACAACCAUAUCACGUUGAAACACCGAUUCCUGUACAAUCAUCGAAGUUAAGCAAAGUUGAGUCUGGUCAGUACUUAGAUGAGUGACCGCUUGCGUAUACCAGGUGCUGUAA